Molecule: long non-coding RNA, 3492 nt
Filed under: Sus scrofa (pig)
Lineage: Eukaryota; Metazoa; Chordata; Mammalia; Artiodactyla; Suidae
Description: lncRNA (ENSSSCG00000058282.1)
Source: RNAcentral
UUUUUUUUUUUUUGUCUUUUUGCCAUUUCUUGGGCUGCUCCCGUGGCAUAUGGAGGUUCCCAGGCUAGGGGGUCUAAUCAGAGCUGUAGCUGCCAGCCUACGCCAGAGCCACAGCAAUGCAGGAUCCAAGCCGUGUCUGCAACCUACACCACAGCUCAUGGCAACGCUGGAUCAUUAACCCACUGAGCAAGGGCAGGGAUCGAACCCUCAACCUCAUGGUUCCUAGUCGGAUUCGUUAACCACUGCGCCAUGACGGGAACUCCAAAAUCUCUGGGUCACUUUUAAAACAUACACACACAUUCACACAAACACGCUCACUCAAGGAGAAACAAAAAGUCACUUUCCUAAAGCCAACCUAAUCUGUGAAAUUUUCCCAACCCAAGAGAAAAAUACCCUCUUGUACAGUUAUGCAGAGCCCAAACUUCUUAUUACAGCCUGAGUCUUCCUGCCCACAACAAUCAGGCUGAAUGGAUUGCUCACAUAGCAUAUUGGUGGCUCCACAAAAAUGGGAUAAAACCAUUCCUGUGCUUUUUCUAUUUGGUUGUGAUGUUAUCCUUUCCCAGACACUGUGAGAAGGAUGGAGCAGAUAAAGAAUAUUGCUAGUUCCUUUCAAUAUCCAUUUUCUCCUUCCUUGCAAGAGAAUUUUAGCUGGACACAUGGCUACUAAGCUAAAGACCACUAGCUUACCAAGCCAUCCCUGAAACUAGAAGCAGCCAUGUGACCAAUGAUUUUGGCCAAUGGAAUGUGAGAAAGCACUUUGUGCCAUUUUCCUUGGUUUGCCUUUAAAGUGAUUGAAUACAUGCUUCUGACCCUUGACUUCCUUUCUGUUAGCUUUCACAUGCCUAGAACUAAAGUAGGCACCUUAAACCCAAAGACGGACUUCCUAUCUUUUGGCCUCUGUAGAUAAAGAAAUAAGUGUAUACUUUGUUUAAGCAAAUAUAUUUUGGAUACUAUUUGUUACAGAAACAUAGGUGGACUUCUGUUGAGUACACUGACCAUCCUCAUAGAUGCCAAGUUCCUUGAAGGAGAUGUAACCAGUAAGAAGCAGAGCUAAGGGAGUUCCCAUUAUGGUGCAAUGGGUUAAGAAACCUACUGUAGUGGCUUGGGUUGUAGGGGAGACACAGGUUCCAUCCCUGCCCAGGCGCAGUGGGUUAAAGGAUCCAGCAUUGCUGCAGCUGCAACUUGGAUUCAGUCACUGGCCCAGGAACGUCCUUAUGCCCCAGGUGCAACCAUUAACAAAAAAAAUAAAAUAAAAACAGAGCUGAACCUUGGACCUAGUGCCCUAACCAUGGAGCUCUCCUCAUCCAUCCUAAAUAUGUCUUUAUCAGAACUUUAUAAAACUUUAUAACAGAGUAGAGAUAUCAUAGUAUGAACUGUAACUUUUUUUCCCCCUGUCCUUUGUAGUUUCCUUGUUUAAGAGAGUUACUAGUUUCACUUCUGUUAAUUUUGCUGUCUGAGUAACCAUCAGCACCUACCAUAAAAGCAGCCUUCACCUAGCAUGGGAGCUUAAGAACAGUACACACUUUCUGGAAGCAAUGCUUUCUUUCUUUUUAGUAUGUUCAGCAUGGAAUUUGUAGUCUUGAAACUUAAAAGCAGAAAUCUUAGAACCAACAAGGAUAAAAGAAGCUUUAGGUAAAGGAAAUAGAGGAUCCAGAUAAUGAGAACUAAUUCCUAUUGACUCAGUGAAUGUUACUCCCUCUCUCAAUCCUUAUCCAACAAUCCUGCUAAGCCCCAAAAUGAAUAAAAGUGAAAUGACCUUAUCAUUGCCAACAACAACAAAAAAACACUGGGUGGCAGGAAUUUAAUUUUAAAUCACCAUUCCUCAUUCUCACUAGGAAAAAUAAAUCACCAUUUGGCAACCUACACUACCUCCAUCCGAAGAAUGGCUGUUAUUAACCCUAUUUUUGAAUUUGCUUUAAUAACUAAUCAUAGCAAACUCAUAUAACAUUUACUAUGUUCCAAGACCACUCCAUGUGGUUUUUACAUAUUAACUUUUCUAAUUCUUACAACUAUAUGAAGUAGGUACAAUUGGUUUUUUUGUUUUUUUGUUUUUUUUCCAUUUUACAGGUAAGGAAACCAAAAGCACAGAUAUGUUUUACAUGCUUAUUAAUAGACUGAUUAUAUUUUAGUAGGUGUGAGAAAUGCCAUCUUCUAGAGAUCUUUUGCCUGGUGGUAUGUUGAAUGAUAGUUGUUGAUGAAUUUUGAGCAUUCAUAUUUCACUCACCAUUUCCCUCCCACCUGAAAUUGUACUCCACUGAAACUAACCUGCUACUUCAGCAGGCAAAAACAAAUUAUCCUACUGUACUGAGCUUGUACCUAAAAGUCAGAUUAUUCAGAUUAUUCUCUGUUGGCGCAAAUGAUCUCCUGUUCAAGAAAAUAGUAUCUUCAUGGUUUAUCUUUCAUUAUGUGUUCAUCUGUUUAUUGUCACUUUAUAGGUUUUUUCCUUAGAACAUCUGAUUUAUUGCUAUAUGAAUGUCAUAAGAACUGGAAUACUGAGAGUUCCAUUGUGGCUCAGUAGUUAACGAAUCCAACUAGCAUAUGUGAGGAUACGGGUUUGAUCCCUGACCUUGCUCAGUGGGUUAAGGAUCCGGUGUUGCCCUGAGCCGUAGUGUAGGUCGCAGACGCAUCUCAGAUCUAGUGUAGAUCUUGGCGUAGGCCAGCGGUUGCAACUCUAAUUCAACCCCUAGCCUGGGAACUCCAUAUGCUAGGGGUGCAUCCCUAAAAAGAAAAAAAAAAUUGCUAAAAACAAGAUCUCUCUUCUGAUGGAUUUUAUUUAUAAUUCCCUAUUUGAAUAAUUCCAAAAUAUUUUUUAUAACUUUUAGUGUCAAGACCAUAUUAUCAUGUUGUAUUGUUACAUUGUUUUAUGGUAUCUAAUUCUGCCAUGCAAAUGUUGAGAUAGUUUUGUUGCUUGCCAGUUCAAAGUUGGACAGUCCAAAUUGCUUUUCCUCUUUAACUGAUACUAAUUUUUCUCAUGUUUUUAAAAAAUUUUUGUUUGAGUAUAACUGAUUUACAAUGCUGUAUUAGUUUUAAGUGUACAGCAAAAUGAAUCAGUUAUACAUAUACAUAUAUCCAUUUUUCCCCGUAGGUUAUUAUCCUCUAUGUUAUAUGUGGUAAAAAUUCAUAAUUUUCUCCAUCUUACCUUUUUCUAUUUGGAACAGCGAAGUGAUUAACUAAUAAAAACAAAAACUAACCAAAUUUCUUAACAGUAGAAGUGGCCAUGUGUUCUAACUAGUGGGAUAUAAGUGAAUAGUAUAGGGUGGAACUAUUAAGAACCCUCUUUACAAGCAGUACAAACUGGAAUGCACAGCGGAAACAAAGCCGACUAGAAACUAUGAGAUUGUGGGUUCGAUCCCUGGCCUCGCUCAGUAGCUUAAGGAUCUAGCAUUGCUGUUAGCUGUAGUGUCAGUCACAGAUGUGACUCGGAUCCUGCAUUGCUGUGGCUGUGGUAUAGGCCAGCAGCUGUAGCUCUGAUUUGACCCCAAGCCUGGGAAC